AAUCUCUAUGAUGAACACCUUUAAGCCAAAACAGUUAUCCCUGUCAUAAAAACAAUUGAUGAUAUACUAAGCUGACCAAAUA
Drosophila kikkawai is the source of this 82-nucleotide small nucleolar RNA. RefSeq annotates it as small nucleolar RNA R38. Lineage: Eukaryota; Metazoa; Arthropoda; Insecta; Diptera; Drosophilidae. The record is from RefSeq and is a predicted model, not a curated record.